This 952-nucleotide long non-coding RNA is filed under the name Androctonus crassicauda. The record is from RNAcentral. Lineage: Eukaryota; Metazoa; Arthropoda; Arachnida; Scorpiones; Buthidae.
GGAUGAAGUCAUAACAAAAGGAUAUGAUUUUAACAAUUGGGUGCAUUAUGAGAUCAGUUUCUUUUCUAAAGAGGUUAGUGGCAAUAAGAUCUUGUAGACCAUAGGGCAGAUGGAUAUUGGUUGUUUAUGGAUCUUGAUGUGGGAAUAAAGUGGUGAGCAGUUAAGAUUUGGCAGAAGUUUGCAUUUCCAGCAUGGAGGGAAGUCUAUUCUACAUAAUAAUGUAGAUAGCCAGUUUUGUAGUCUAGGUAUGGGAUCAUUUGAAAGAAGUUUUGCACCUGUAGUCAUUAUAUGGUCAGAUAACAUAUCUUAUUGGAUAGCUUGCAUGAGAAUCAAUCUUCUUGGUUUUGUCCUUCCACAUGCAUAUUAUGUUAUUGUCUUUCAACCACAGUUUAGUAUGUUCCAAUUUAAGAUGGAUUCUUUUUUGCUCUUUGUUCUAGAUGUUUUCCUAAGAUUGUUGUAUAUGGUGACAUAAGUUGAUCUUAAAUGAUGUCUGUCAUCUGAAUGUGUAUGUGUCAAUAGAGAUUCUAUAUUUGGUGCUAUAUCUAUGAAUUCAACAACAUGCUUAGUAACUACACAUAUUGGUAUCAUCGAUGGUAAUCAAUUCUACAGGUAAACUAGGGAUGUCUCUGUGGGUGGACCUGUGGCUGGUGUUGUGGCUGAGCUAGUUGUGGGACAAUGAGAGCGGCAAGUGUCUUCUAUGCUGUAUACUGGUCUCAAAUUCCUGGGGGGGUGUGUGGAUGAUUUGUUUAUUAUUUGCAGUGGCUCCAAAGAUGUGGGGUGCAUCAUGAAAUAUUUUAGAAAUGACACAUUUGGCUUGGAUGUUGGGUUGGCUCAGCUGCCAACGUCCACAGUCGGCGGUCAGUUGCCAGUCUCCAUUUUUUGGAUGUCAAUGUCACUAUGGUUGAUGGAAGGUUCUCAACAUUGUUAUAUAGAGGGGAAACUUGUAUACCAG